RNAcentral lists this ribosomal RNA (325 nucleotides) under uncultured eukaryote. RNAcentral's name for it is "partial 18S ribosomal RNA". It matches the Rfam family "Eukaryotic small subunit ribosomal RNA", at positions 1470 to 1796 of the family's 1831-position model. The record is from RNAcentral.
CCCUUAGAUGUUCUGGGCUGCACGCGCGCUACACUGAUGCGCUCAACGAGUUUUAACCUUGCCUGGAAAGGUUGGGUAAUCUUUUUAAAACGCAUCGUGAUGGGGAUAGAUUAUUGCAAUUAUUAAUCUUCAACGAGGAAUUCCUAGUAAGCGCGAGUCAUCAGCUCGUGCUGAUUACGUCCCUGCCCUUUGUACACACCGCCCGUCACUCCUACCGAUUGAGUGAUCCGGUGAAUAAUUCGAACUGCGGCAUUGACCGGUUCCCGAUCGUUGCUGCGGAAAGUUUAGUGAACCUUAUCACUUAGAGGAAGGAGAAGUCGUAACA